UACGUAGGGGGCAAGCGUUGUCCGGAAUCAUUGGGCGUAAAGCGCGCGUAGGCGGCUUGGUAAGUCCGCUCUGAAAGCCCGGGGCUCAACCCCGGGAGGCGGGUGGAUACUGCCGAGCUCGAGUCCGGAAGAGGCGGGUGGAAUUCCUGGUGUAGCGGUGAAAUGCGCAGAUAUCAGGAGGAACACCGAUGGCGAAGGCAGCUCGCUGGGACGUGACUGACGCUGAGACGCGAAAGCGUGGGGAGCAAACAGG
This 253-nucleotide ribosomal RNA is filed under the name uncultured bacterium. RNAcentral describes it as "partial 16S ribosomal RNA". It matches the Rfam family "Bacterial small subunit ribosomal RNA", at positions 524 to 776 of the family's 1533-position model. The record is from RNAcentral.